This 251-nucleotide ribosomal RNA is filed under the name uncultured bacterium. Its description in RNAcentral is "partial 16S ribosomal RNA". It matches the Rfam family "Bacterial small subunit ribosomal RNA", at positions 524 to 776 of the family's 1533-position model. The record is from RNAcentral.
UACAGAGGGGGCAAGCGUUAUUCGGAAUUAUUGGGCGUAAAGAGCUCGUAGGCGGUCUGUCGCGUCUGCUGUGAAAACUCAGGGCUUAACCCUGAGCUUGCAGUGGGUACGGGCAGACUAGAGUGCGGUAGGGAGACUGGAAUUCCUGGUGUAGCGGUGAAAUGCGCAGAUAUCAGGAGGAACACCGGUGGCGAAGGCGGGUCUCUGGGCCGUAACUGACGCUGAGGAGCGAAAGCAUGGGAGCGAACAGG